Molecule: ribosomal RNA, 618 nt
Filed under: Lactiplantibacillus plantarum
Lineage: Bacteria; Bacillati; Bacillota; Bacilli; Lactobacillales; Lactobacillaceae
Description: bacterial SSU rRNA
Rfam family: Bacterial small subunit ribosomal RNA
Source: RNAcentral
UGCUUGCAUCAUGAUUUACAUUUGAGUGAGUGGCGAACUGGUGAGUAACACGUGGGAAACCUGCCCAGAAGCGGGGGAUAACACCUGGAAACAGAUGCUAAUACCGCAUAACAACUUGGACCGCAUGGUCCGAGUUUGAAAGAUGGCUUCGGCUAUCACUUUUGGAUGGUCCCGCGGCGUAUUAGCUAGAUGGUGAGGUAACGGCUCACCAUGGCAAUGAUACGUAGCCGACCUGAGAGGGUAAUCGGCCACAUUGGGACUGAGACACGGCCCAAACUCCUACGGGAGGCAGCAGUAGGGAAUCUUCCACAAUGGACGAAAGUCUGAUGGAGCAACGCCGCGUGAGUGAAGAAGGGUUUCGGCUCGUAAAACUCUGUUGUUAAAGAAGAACAUAUCUGAGAGUAACUGUUCAGGUAUUGACGGUAUUUAACCAGAAAGCCACGGCUAACUACGUGCCAGCAGCCGCGGUAAUACGUAGGUGGCAAGCGUUGUCCGGAUUUAUUGGGCGUAAAGCGAGCGCAGGCGGUUUUUUAAGUCUGAUGUGAAAGCCUUCGGCUCAACCGAAGAAGUGCAUCGGAAACUGGGAAACUUGAGUGCAGAAGAGGACAGUGGAACUCC